Molecule: microRNA, 21 nt
Filed under: Sorghum bicolor (sorghum)
Lineage: Eukaryota; Viridiplantae; Streptophyta; Magnoliopsida; Poales; Poaceae
Description: sbi-miR5568g-3p
Source: miRBase by way of RNAcentral
AAAACGUCUUAUAAUUUGGAG